Molecule: ribosomal RNA, 253 nt
Filed under: uncultured Oscillospira sp.
Lineage: Bacteria; Bacillati; Bacillota; Clostridia; Eubacteriales; Oscillospiraceae
Description: partial 16S ribosomal RNA
Rfam family: Bacterial small subunit ribosomal RNA
Source: RNAcentral
UACGGAGGGUGCAAGCGUUACUCGGAAUCACUGGGCGUAAAGGGCGUGUAGGCGGGAAUGCAAGUCAGAUGUGAAAACUAUGGGCUCAACUCAUAGCCUGCAUUUGAAACUGUAUUUCUUGAGUGAUGGAGAGGCAGGCGGAAUUCCGUGUGUAGCGGUGAAAUGCGUAGAUAUACGGAGGAACACCAGUGGCGAAGGCGGCCUGCUGGACAUUAACUGACGCUGAGGCGCGAAAGCGUGGGGAGCAAACAGG